AGAUACAAUAUAAUAUAAAACAUGAAAUAUAAGACACAUAAUUUCGUUACAAGGAACCCCGCCCCCGUUAUAGUUUUUUUUAACUGCUCAGGACGAACGCUGGCGGCGUGCCUAAUACAUGCAAGUCGAGCGGACAGAUGGGAGCUUGCUCCCUGAUGUUAGCGGCGGACGGGUGAGUAACACGUGGGUAACCUGCCUGUAAGACUGGGAUAACUCCGGGAAACCGGGGCUAAUACCGGAUGGUUGUUUGAACCGCAUGGUUCAAACAUAAAAGGUGGCUUCGGCUACCACUUACAGAUGGACCCGCGGCGCAUUAGCUAGUUGGUGAGGUAACGGCUCACCAAGGCAACGAUGCGUAGCCGACCUGAGAGGGUGAUCGGCCACACUGGGACUGAGACACGGCCCAGACUCCUACGGGAGGCAGCAGUAGGGAAUCUUCCGCAAUGGACGAAAGUCUGACGGAGCAACGCCGCGUGAGUGAUGAAGGUUUUCGGAUCGUAAAGCUCUGUUGUUAGGGAAGAACAAGUACCGUUCGAAUAGGGCGGUACCUUGACGGUACCUAACCAGAAAGCCACGGCUAACUACGUGCCAGCAGCCGCGGUAAUACGUAGGUGGCAAGCGUUGUCCGGAAUUAUUGGGCGUAAAGGGCUCGCAGGCGGUUUCUUAAGUCUGAUGUGAAAGCCCCCGGCUCAACCGGGGAGGGUCAUUGGAAACUGGGGAACUUGAGUGCAGAAGAGGAGAGUGGAAUUCCACGUGUAGCGGUGAAAUGCGUAGAGAUGUGGAGGAACACCAGUGGCGAAGGCGACUCUCUGGUCUGUAACUGACGCUGAGGAGCGAAAGCGUGGGGAGCGAACAGGAUUAGAUACCCUGGUAGUCCACGCCGUAAACGAUGAGUGCUAAGUGUUAGGGGGUUUCCGCCCCUUAGUGCUGCAGCUAACGCAUAAGCACUCCGCAUGGAGGACUUCACGU
RNAcentral lists this ribosomal RNA (969 nucleotides) under uncultured bacterium. RNAcentral's name for it is "bacterial SSU rRNA". It matches the Rfam family "Bacterial small subunit ribosomal RNA". The record is from RNAcentral.